UGAAUACGAGACGCUAAGGCGUCGAAGUAGUGUAUGUCAUACUUCCAAGAAAAGCUUGCACUGUCAUAGAUAAAAAACGCCUGUACCAUAACCGACACAGGUGGGUAGGUAGAGUAUACUAAGGGGCGCGAGAUAACUCUCUCUAAGGAACUCGGCAAAAUAACUCCGUAACUUCGGGAGAAGGAGUGCCUUAUUCGUAAGGUUGCAAUAACAAGAUCCAAGCAACUGUUUAUCAAAAACACAGGUCUCCGCUAAGUCGUAAGACGAUGUAUGGGGGCUGACGCCUGCCCAGUGCCAGAAGGUUAAAGAAGUUGGUUAGCAAUUGCGAAGCUGAUAACUGAAGCCCUGGUGAACGGCGGCCGUAACCAUAACGGUCCUAGGGUAGCGAAAUUCCUUGUCGGGUAAGUUCCGACCCGCACGAAAGGCGUAAUGAUUUGGAUACUGUCUCGGAGAGGGGCUCGGUGAAAUAGACUUGUCUGUGAAGAUGCGGACUACCUGCACCAGGACAGAAAGACCCUAUGAAGCUUUACUGUAACUUGAAAUUGAAAUUGGACUUUAUUCGCGCAGUAUAGGUGGGAGGCGUUGAUUAUAAUCUUGUGGGAUUAUUGGAGCCAUCAGUGAGAUACCACUCUUGUAAUGUUAGAUUUCUAACUUUGAAUCAUUAUCUGGUCAAAGAACAGUUUCAGGCGGGCAGUUUGACUGGGGCGGUCGCCUCCUAAACGGUAACGGAGGCGUACAAAGGUUUCCUCUGAACGGUUAGAAAUCGUAUCUAGAGUGUAAAGGCAUAAGGAAGCUUGACUGUGAGACCUACAAGUCGAGCAGGGACGAAAGUCGGUCUUAGUGAUCUGACGGUACUGAGUGGAAAGGCCGUCACUCAACGGAUAAAAGUUACUCUAGGAUAACAGGCUGAUCUCCCCCAAGAGUUCACAUCGACGGGGAGGUUUGGCACCUCGAUGUCGGCUCAUCGCAUCCUGGGGCGGUAGUACGUCCCAAGGGUUGGGCUGUUCGCCCAUGAAAGCGGUACGCGAGCUGGGUUCAGAACGUCGUGAGACAGUUCGGUCCAUAUCCGGUGUAGGCGUUAGAAUAUUGAGAGGAGCCUUCUUUAGUACGAGAGGACCGAGAAGGACAUACCUCUGGUGUACCAGUUAUCGUGCCAACGGUAAACGCUGGGUAGCUAUGUAUGGAGUGGAUAACCGCUGAAAGCAUCUAAGUGGGAAGCCCACCUCAAGAUAAGUA
RNAcentral lists this ribosomal RNA (1236 nucleotides) under metagenome. Its description in RNAcentral is "bacterial LSU rRNA". It matches the Rfam family "Bacterial large subunit ribosomal RNA", at positions 1564 to 2810 of the family's 2925-position model. The record is from RNAcentral.